RNAcentral lists this ribosomal RNA (484 nucleotides) under uncultured bacterium. Its description in RNAcentral is "partial 16S ribosomal RNA". It matches the Rfam family "Bacterial small subunit ribosomal RNA", at positions 30 to 507 of the family's 1533-position model. The record is from RNAcentral.
AUUGAACGCUGGCGGCAGGCCUAACACAUGCAAGUCGAGCGGAUGAAGGGAGCUUGCUCCUGGAUUCAGCGGCGGACGGGUGAGUAAUGCCUAGGAAUCUGCCUGGUAGUGGGGGAUAACGUCCGGAAACGGGCGCUAAUACCGCAUACGUCCUGAGGGAGAAAGUGGGGGAUCUUCGGACCUCACGCUAUCAGAUGAGCCUAGGUCGGAUUAGCUAGUUGGUGGGGUAAAGGCCUACCAAGGCGACGAUCCGUAACUGGUCUGAGAGGAUGAUCAGUCACAUGGGAACGGAGAACGGGCCAAGACUCUUAGGGAGGGAGGAGGGGGGGAUUUUUGGAGAAGGGGGGAAGGCCGGAUCCAGCAAGCCGGGGGGUGGGAAGAGGUUUUUGGGAUUGUAAAACAUUUUAGGUGGGGAGGAAGGGCAGUAAGUUAAUACUUUGUUUUUUUGACUUUACCAACAAAAAAAGCCCCGGCUAACUUCGUG